RNAcentral lists this ribosomal RNA (229 nucleotides) under uncultured bacterium. RNAcentral describes it as "partial 16S ribosomal RNA". It matches the Rfam family "Bacterial small subunit ribosomal RNA", at positions 568 to 796 of the family's 1533-position model. The record is from RNAcentral.
UCCGUAGGUGGAUAAUUAAGUCAGAGGUGAAAGUUUGCAGCUCAACUGUAAAAUUGCCUUUGAUACUGGUUAUCUUGAGUUAUUAUGAAGUAGUUAGAAUAUGUAGUGUAGCGGUGAAAUGCAUAGAUAUUACAUAGAAUACCAAUUGCGAAGGCAGAUUACUAAUAAUAUAUUGACACUGAUGGACGAAAGCGUGGGGAGCGAACAGGAUUAGAUACCCUGGUAGUCC